This 1275-nucleotide long non-coding RNA is filed under the name Pandoravirus salinus. RNAcentral describes it as "putative ncRNA". The record is from RNAcentral.
CAGAAACGCACGCGCACAAAUGCGACGGUCCCGAUGUCUUUUUGUGUGUGUAUGUGUGCUUUAUCUAUUCAGCGAUGGGCGGGAACGGCGGGCCGAGUGGCGUUGGCCUCCUCCCAGGCCUUUUGCUUGCGCGGCACCGGCACGGCGCCGCCGAGCACCAGGUCGGUACCCUUGACCGGAUGCACGUAGGCCAUCAUGAGCAUUUCGCGCUUCCAGCGGAAAUGCACGUAGCCGCCGCCACGGCGCGCCGCGCUCAGCAUGUCGGCGAGCGGGCUCGGCGCCCGACUGUGUGCGCCACGACGUCUGCGGGCCGGCGCGAUCGGCGCGCCCCCAUACGCGGGCGUACCGGCGUCGCCUUGCUCAUCGUCGCCGGUGGCAUGCGCAACGCCGCCCGUGUGGUCGCCGUCGACCACACGAUGAAACCCGGGCACGCGGCCCGUAGCACCGCGCGCCAAGUGCCGCGUCUUGCCGUGGGCCCACACGCCGCCGCGCGAGUCGACGGCAAAGGCAAAGCCGCGCCCGCACGAGCCCAGGCGCACGGCUUCGAUGGCGUCUAGCAUCUCGUGCACGAGCGGGUCCGCGGCGGCGAUGGCGGCCAUGUGUGCCUUGGACGCUGCCGCCGAGGCCGAUGGCGGCCGCGUCGAUUGAGCCGACGGCGUGUUGGACGGCGCGCGGGCGCGCGGUCGUGGAUGGGCGGGAGGCGUCACCGCUGCAGUUGUUGUCGGAUCGAUCGACGCGGGAGGCGCAGAGGCGGCGCGCUGCUGGGCGUCGCGCAUGACGCCGCUGGCGUGCCGCGACAGGGCCUUGACGUCGGUGCGCAGUCGCUGCUUUUCGCCCACCCACGCCUUGACGUAGCGCACGGCCGAUGCAAAGAGCACGAGCGAGAUCGUGACGAGCGUGAUGAUGACGACCAGGAGGAGGAACGACCAGCGCACCUCGCGCUCGGUGCACACGCACGACCCGAGGACAAAGGCCGGCGCGCGCGUGCACUUGGAGCCGCUGUCUGGUCGAUCGCCCAUCCGCCAAUCGAAAAAAAAAGAAAAGAAAAAGAGACGCGGAGGAAUGCAAAGGCAGAGGGCCAAAGAAAAAAAGAGAGGAGACAAAGACAGGCGAGGCAACGGAAAAGAGGCGGCCUGUGUCUCGGCGCUAAAAGCAGAGGCGCCUUGCAAAAGUUGCGAAAAAAAAAGAGAUGCGGCUGUUGUUGUCGCCGCAGCCCAAUGGCGCGGAUGGCAAAAGGGCAAAAAAAAAGGGAGCCGCGGGCGAGGCUCUUGUCUU